AAAAAAAGAAAUAAAAUAAAGAAGAAUAAUAAAAAGAGAAAUAUGGGUUUCACUGAGAAGCAAGAAGCUUUAGUUAAUAGCUCAUGGGAGUUAUAGUGUUUUGUUCUACAUCAUGUAAGCUUUGAAUUGUUUCUGUGUGUUUGACUUUUUUUUUGUUAAUUGUUGUUUUAUAAGAAAUGAGGUAUACUAAACAAAAUAAUUUUGGUUGAUUUAUUCAAAAUAGUAUAUUAAAAAAAGCACCCGC
This 244-nucleotide long non-coding RNA is filed under the name Lathyrus oleraceus (garden pea). RNAcentral describes it as "Pisum sativum (pea) long non-coding RNA (PSAT_LNC027647)". The record is from RNAcentral. Lineage: Eukaryota; Viridiplantae; Streptophyta; Magnoliopsida; Fabales; Fabaceae.